GCGUUAGUGGUCUAAUGGUAGAAUACGAGCUUCCCAAGCUUGUGAUCCGGGUUCGAUUCCCGGCUGGCGCA
Molecule: non-coding RNA, 71 nt
Organism: Candidatus Pacearchaeota archaeon CG1_02_30_18
Lineage: Archaea; Nanobdellati
Source: Rfam